UACGUAGGGACCGAGCGUUGUCCGGAUUCAUUGGGCGUAAAGAGCUCGUAGGCGGCCACUCAAGUCGAAUGUGAAACCUCGAGGCUCAACCUCGAGCCUGCAUUCGAUACUGGGCGGCUAGAGUCUGGUAGGGGGAUCUGGAAUUCCUGGUGUAGCGGUGGAAUGCGCAGAUAUCAGGAGGAACACCGGUGGCGAAGGCGGGUUGCUGGGCUGACACUGACGCUGAGGCGCGAAAGCUAGGGGAGCGAACGGG
Molecule: ribosomal RNA, 253 nt
Filed under: uncultured bacterium
Lineage: Bacteria
Description: partial 16S ribosomal RNA
Rfam family: Bacterial small subunit ribosomal RNA
Source: RNAcentral